This 254-nucleotide ribosomal RNA is filed under the name uncultured bacterium. RNAcentral describes it as "partial 16S ribosomal RNA". It matches the Rfam family "Bacterial small subunit ribosomal RNA", at positions 524 to 776 of the family's 1533-position model. The record is from RNAcentral.
UACGGGGGGAGCAAGCGUUGUUCGGAUUUACUGGGCGUAAAGGGCGCGUAGGCGGUCGUGACAAGUCACUUGUGAAAUCUCCGGGCUUAACUCGGAACGGUCAAGUGAUACUGUCGGACUAGAGUACAGAAGGGGCAACUGGAAUUCUCGGUGUAGCGGUGAAAUGCGUAGAUAUCUGGAGGAACACCGGUGGCGAAGGCGGCAUCCUGGACCAACACUGACACUGAGGAGCGAAAGCCAGGGGAGCAAACGGG